This 417-nucleotide ribosomal RNA is filed under the name uncultured bacterium. Its description in RNAcentral is "partial 16S ribosomal RNA". It matches the Rfam family "Bacterial small subunit ribosomal RNA", at positions 360 to 774 of the family's 1533-position model. The record is from RNAcentral.
AAUAUUGGUCAAUGGAGGCAACUCUGAACCAGCCAUGCCGCGUGCAGGAAGAAUGUCCGAUGGAUUGUAAACUGCUUUUGUACGGGAAGAAUUGUAAUUACGUGUAAUUAUUUGACGGUACCGUACGAAUAAGGAUCGGCUAACUCCGUGCCAGCAGCAGCGGUAAUACGGAGGAUCCGCGCGAUAUCCGGAAUUAUUGGGUUUAAAGGGUCCGUAGGCGGCCUUGUAAGUAGGGGGUGAAAUCUCUUAGCUCAACUAAGAACUUGCCUUUGAUACUGCUUGGCUUGAAUCAUUAGGAAGUAACUAGAAUAUGUAGUGUAGCGGUGAAAUGCUUAGAUAUUACAUGGAAUACCGAUUGCGAAGGCAGGUUACUACUAAUGUAUUGACGCUGAUGGACGAAAGCGUGGGUAGCGAACA